GAUGAACGCUGGCGGCGUGCCUAAUACAUGCCAGUCGAGCGAACAGACGAGGAGCUUGCUCCUCUGACGUUAGCGGCGGACGGGUGAGUAACACGUGGAUAACCUACCUAUAAGACUGGGAUAACUUCGGGAAACCGGAGCUAAUACCGGAUAAUAUAUUGAACCGCAUGGUUCAAUAGUGAAAGACGGUUUUGCUGUCACUUAUAGAUGGAUCCGCGCCGCAUUAGCUAGUUGGUAAAGUAACGGCUUACCAAGGCAACGAUGCGUAGCCGACCUGAGAGGGUGAUCGGCCACACUGGAACUGAGACACGGUCCAGACUCCUACGGGAGGCAGCAGUAGGGAAUCUUCCGCAAUGGGCGAAAGCCUGACGGAGCAACGCCGCGUGAGUGAUGAAGGUCUUCGGAUCGUAAAACUCUGUUAUUAGGGAAGAACAAAUGUGUAAGUAACUAUGCACGUCUUGACGGUACCUAAUCAGAAAGCCACGGCUAACUACGUG
RNAcentral lists this ribosomal RNA (497 nucleotides) under uncultured bacterium. Its description in RNAcentral is "partial 16S ribosomal RNA". It matches the Rfam family "Bacterial small subunit ribosomal RNA", at positions 28 to 507 of the family's 1533-position model. The record is from RNAcentral.